RNAcentral lists this ribosomal RNA (506 nucleotides) under uncultured bacterium. RNAcentral describes it as "partial 16S ribosomal RNA". It matches the Rfam family "Bacterial small subunit ribosomal RNA", at positions 30 to 523 of the family's 1533-position model. The record is from RNAcentral.
AUUGAACGCUGGCGGCAGGCCUAACACAUGCAAGUCGAGCGGCAGCGGAAAGUAGCUUGCUAUUUUGCCGGCGAGCGGCGGACGGGUGAGUAAUGUCUGGGAAACUGCCCGAUGGAGGGGGAUAACUACUGGAAACGGUAGCUAAUACCGCAUAACGUCGCAAGACCAAAGAGGGGGACCUUCGGGCCUCUCGCCCUCGGAUGUGCCCAGAUGGGAUUAGCUAGUAGGUGGGGUAACGGCUCACCUAGGCGACGAUCCCUAGCUGGUCUGAGAGGAUGACCAGCCACACUGGAACUGAGACACGGUCCAGACUCCUACGGGAGGCAGCAGUGGGGAAUAUUGCACAAUGGGCGCAAGCCUGAUGCAGCUAUGCCGCGUGUAUGAAGAAGGCCUUCGGGUUGUAAAGUACUUUCAGCGAGGAGGAAGGCAUUAAGGUUAAUAACCUUGGUGAUUGACGUUACUCGCAGAAGAAGCACCGGCUAACUCCGUGCCAGCCGCCGCCGUAA